UGGGGAAUAUUGGACAAUGGGCGAAAGCCUGAUCCAGCCAUGCCGCGUGAGUGAUGAAGGCCUUAGGGUUGUAAUGCUCUUUUAGCGGGGAAGAUAAUGACGGUACCCGCAGAAUAAGCCCCGGCUAACUUCGUGCCAGCAGCCGCGGUAAUACGAAGGGGGCUAGCGUUGUUCGGAAUUACUGGGCGUAAAGCGCACGUAGGCGGAUUGACAAGUCAGGGGUGAAAUCCCGGGGCUCAACCUCGGAACU
This 250-nucleotide ribosomal RNA is filed under the name uncultured bacterium. Its description in RNAcentral is "partial 16S ribosomal RNA". It matches the Rfam family "Bacterial small subunit ribosomal RNA", at positions 355 to 622 of the family's 1533-position model. The record is from RNAcentral.